ACAACAAUCAUUAAAAUAUCCUGUCAUGCUCAUUUAUUUAAUCAAAAUAAAAUUCUUUGCAUAAAUCGCAGCGGAACAAUUUCAACAUCAACGUAAAACAUGUAACACAAUACAUGUAAAUCAUUCAACAAUCAGUAUCAAAUUAGUUAAAACAUCCCCUCCCGAUGUUACAUCUAUCAGAGCAUGACCCAUAAGAAACUACUCUAGACUCCAAGCAUUAGCUUCUAC
This 228-nucleotide long non-coding RNA is filed under the name Lathyrus oleraceus (garden pea). Its description in RNAcentral is "Pisum sativum (pea) long non-coding RNA (PSAT_LNC026210)". The record is from RNAcentral. Lineage: Eukaryota; Viridiplantae; Streptophyta; Magnoliopsida; Fabales; Fabaceae.